GGGUAUACACGUUUCAAUGGCUAAACAGCAUUUUCUGUCAAGACUUACACGAUUUAUGAGGUAUCCUUACAGACACAGAAAGAAUGAAAAAGUUUCACACAGAGAACAGAAUUCCUCAGAGUGUAGCGUAAGGUCGUAAAGUUUAGCUGACAGUUAGAAUAACCCUUUCAAUGCUGGCUAGACCUCCUAGGUAAUUAAGAUCUAUUCUUAUGUAAUUUUAAAUAAAAUAACAUUUAAACCAGUUCAUUAGUCAUUUCCUGGAACCAUCCAAUAAGAAUAAUCUACCAGAUUUUUACAAAAGCAGAAUUUUAAUUUGCCUAAAAAGAUAUCUUAUCUUAUAUUAGAGCAAAUCAAUACACCUGGAUAAAAACAGCGGUAUGCUAACAUGUGAUACCAUCACAUCAAUAUAUAUAAUUAUUCUUAAUUCCACCUGCAGAAUGGAAUGUUUAUAA
Molecule: non-coding RNA, 452 nt
Organism: Pelobates cultripes (western spadefoot toad)
Lineage: Eukaryota; Metazoa; Chordata; Amphibia; Anura; Pelobatidae
Source: the annotation of a GenBank genome assembly